Molecule: ribosomal RNA, 253 nt
Filed under: uncultured bacterium
Lineage: Bacteria
Description: partial 16S ribosomal RNA
Rfam family: Bacterial small subunit ribosomal RNA
Source: RNAcentral
UACGGAGGAUCCAAGCGUUAUCCGGAUUUAUUGGGUUUAAAGGGUGCGUAGGUGGGAAAGUAAGUCAGAGGUGAAAGCUAGCAGCUUAACUGUUAAAUUGCCUUUGAUACUGCUUUUCUUGAGUCUAGUUGGCGUUGGCGGAAUGUGACAUGUAGCGGUGAAAUGCGUAGAUAUGUCACAGAACACCGAUCGCGAAGGCAGCUAACGAAGCUAGUACUGACACUGAUGCACGAAAGCGUGGGGAGCGAACAGG